Molecule: non-coding RNA, 188 nt
Filed under: Pseudomonadota bacterium
Lineage: Bacteria; Pseudomonadati; Pseudomonadota
Description: Proteobacteria bacterium (marine metagenome) 6S RNA
Rfam family: 6S / SsrS RNA
About the family: E. coli 6S RNA was the first non coding RNA to be sequenced, but its function was unknown until recently. It consists of 184 nucleotides that fold into an extended hairpin structure with a large single-stranded internal bulge.
Source: RNAcentral
CACCGCCUGCGGUGUUCGUGGGUUUUCGCCAAUCCCUUAGAACCUGUAUUACAGAUCGGGGAUCGCCUUGUAGGCACCGUUGUGCAUGUCCCGCUUAAUGCGGGAAAGCCUUAAGGUAUCGCAGCGGUCCCCACUUGAACCCUAAGGUUCAAGGUACACCGGGAACUUACGGCACAAGCGGGUGGUGC